This 1219-nucleotide long non-coding RNA is filed under the name Homo sapiens (human). RNAcentral describes it as "HSALNT0004572". The record is from RNAcentral. Lineage: Eukaryota; Metazoa; Chordata; Mammalia; Primates; Hominidae.
UCACACCUCCGUGAGCGGCCUCGGGCUCGCGGUUGAGGCUGAUUGAGGAAGUGGGUUCAGGCGGCCCGCCGUGCCUGGCACACGGUCAGAGUCCCGUCACUGCAAAUGCAACCAAAACUUUUUCUCCUGUAAUGCAAAAUCAUGGAUUCCUGCUCCUGGGAUGUGGAAUCAUUCUUAGGGGCUGCCUAUGUGAGGUGGGAGCUGGAGAUGGUUCCAGGUCAGGGAGGCUAAGAGGAUCAAUGGCAUGCCCCACUACUUGCUGGCUGUGCGGCCUGAGACAAGGUGACAGGACUUUCCCCUUUCUCUGAGAUGACAAUCAGGCCGCUUUGCUUUGCACUGCCCUCAGAGAAGCAGUGUGCCCAGAAGUCAAGUGUGAGCUCUUGAGUCAAAAUGCUUGGAUUUGAAUUCCAACUCUGCUGCUUACCAGCUGUGUGACAUGGGGUGAGUGAGUUACCUGACCUCUCUGUACCUCUAUGUCAUCAUCUUUAAAAUGGAGGCCACAGCAACCAGGGAAAUAGUCUAACAGAAGCCUAGGAUGAAGAAUUUCGGGAAAGAAGAAACGUCCAGCAAGGCCAAGUCCCUUUGUGUGUCAGUCUGCUUUCUCUCUCACACAUACGUGCACACAGGCUCGUACACACAAAGAUGUUAAGCAAAAUAUAAAGCCCCUCCACUGAUAGAAGAGGCUGGGCCACUUUCUGGAGAAAGCCAUGCCAGACAGUGAGAAACAUCUGAAGCCACAGGGCCGUGAGGCCUCCGUGGGGAGGUGCCUUUCUUGGCUCAGCGGUGACCACUGGAAUGCAGCGACUGACCCUUUGCCCCUGGGUGACUUCUGAAGCCUCAAGAAGGUGAAUGAGGGAUUUUGACCCCGUUUCCUCCUAACUCAGUGCCAUGUGCGCUGCUUUGCUUUUCUCUGCCUGGGAACCUUCCCCACUCUGUCUGUCAGGUCACAUGCUCGUGCCGCAAGGCUCAUGUGCCAUGUCCUCUGAAGGACGGCAUCUCUGACCCAUUCUGCCUGACAGGCAGCUGACCAUCUGUGCCCACACUGUACCUGGUACUUAGUCCUAAAAUAGAAUUUAUGAAGUGGAAUGGAUUUGCUUCUAUAUCUGGUUCCCUUCUUUUGACUGCACACUCUAGGGAAAAAUAAAAAUCCUAUCUUAUUUUGACAAAGAUGUAUUGAGAUAUAUUCUUGAUGUAUUUUCUCAAGAAAAAACCCCACAGA